CCCGUUUUCUAAAAUAAUAAACUCAUGGGGCGAUGUUAUCAGAAAACACAGCAUCCAUUGUUAUGCAGACGAUAUGGUAUCUGUCGUUUGGUAUAAACGCACCAUAACGCCGUAUCACUGGCCAUCCCCCAACUACACGCAGCUUGUCAACCGACCAUCUGACCAUAGUUAGCAGUGGAAAAAGAAUAGAUUUAUACUUCAUGGUAAAUAGUGAGAAAUGUAAAUAAGUGAGAAAUGUACCUUUCUAAGUUAGUAACGUUACAAACAUUGAGAAUAAAUACAAAGAAACUGAACUUGCUUGCUUUUGUUUUGUGGUGUGAUAAACUAUCUAUACAUUUCAUUUAGUUUUUAGGGAGCCACGAGAAAGCAGCAUCAAGCUGAAGGAGAACAUUGUGUGUGGUGACAUUCAGCUACUCAAGCUUGGACAUAUUUUCUAAUGUCCUAAGGUUACUGUUAAAAUAGCUUGUAUGUGCAAGAAUUUUUUUUUAGAAAAGUCUACAAGUUAAUACAAGUUAAUAAAUGUGUUUGCUUCUGAGGUUUUUAUUGAGUGCAUUGUUUGAUUUCCUAUUUUUUAAGAUUAAACUAUUACUUUUAGUUAAAAGUGUGUCCGAUUUGGAUUACUUUAACCGGAAAAUGUUUUUCUCUCAGCCUGAAAUAUAUCAUGUUCUUGAGAUGAGGCAUAUCUUAAAUUUACGGAAAUAAGAAGAUUUGUUUUUUGGGUGUUAAGGCUUGUACUGUCAAGAGUAGCAGGUUGCUAGGAAACGAAAGCGGCAGAGAAAAAGCUAAUAAGGCAAACAAGUUCUUUUGUAGGCCAGACGUCCCGUUUCAGGCUUGGUUCUAUGCGGCCAUUAGAGGACCCAGCUCAGCUCAACUGCAAAAGCUGGGUCCUCUGGAGGAUGAAGCCCACCAAUUGAGACAUAGCUAGAGAGUUCCUAGGGCCGGGUGUUCAUGAUAAAGUUCGACAUAAGGAUGGAGUCUUGCUCUUUUAGCCACAGUGUUAGCGCCUGUGGAUGCAGAGGCAUUAGCGCGGGCAGCAGGGAAGGGACAGUUCUUCUUCUUGGAUGUAUUUACCAAGGAAAAGGAGAGGAGCCACAGGAGGAAUAAGAGCUUGAUGUUUAAUGUUGACAACGUAAAGUGAAUAAGUUCUUAAGAGGUUUGCCAUCCGUAUGGUCUGUGGAUCAGUGAGCAGUAUGUAAAGGAACUUCCUGGAGGUGAAAGUGGGCUAGGAUUGGUGUGUGGCGAAUGGAUGAUUGAAGCGAUGAUUCAAUUGCCGGACUGUCAGCUGGUUUCAGCUGCCUGUGUAGUAAAUGUUUAGCUGUUUUUGUAGGAAAAUGCACAAAUAACGUUUGGUACAAUAUAAUGUGAGGAUGUGUUGUUUAUAAGAAAGCAUCUUAUUGUUCUUUGUAGACGCUUCCACAGUUCAUCCUACAGCAAUUCUUUUCCUUACCUUCCCUUGUAAAAAUGUUCCGUUUGUCUUUUGUGUAUAUGCAUUUAUUCUUAAAAACAUGAAUAAUACUGAAUACUGACGGAAGAAACAAUAACUUGGCAAUUCACCAGUUUAAUCCCGAUGAAACAAGCCUUCUCACUGGCAUCCUGAGCAUCUUUCCCUCAGUUUUCACACUAGAGUUGAACCAACAGGCAAAGGUGGUGAUAUGAGCCCCGAUGACAUAUGGAUGCAUGAGGGGAAGAGAGCGUGUGUGAGGCUUUUAGAUCCAACAUGAGCUAUUCUGGGUGUUCUCCAUGCUGUUUUUGCUGAGUCCUCACUCCCACCCUUUUGAGGUGAGAGCCAAUAAAUGAGGGAGAGAAAGGGAAAGAAAACAAGCCAGGCAGGGAUAACGCUGUUACAUAAUCUACUGCUGCUGCAUGACACGUUUGGUCACCCUCCCCGUCACUACUCAGUACAGCACCAAGAGGUGUGUGCAUAGUGUCGAGUGAGUGAAAAACAGAGAGGGGUAGUGCUGAGAGGGUUGUCUGCUGUCCAGCUGCACCAGUGGGUGAGCAGAGGGAAAUGUCACUUUUAAUUAUGCCUGUAUCCAAUCAAUACAAGGAGCGAAGGGACAUUUCUCCACUCUGAAUACUCAUGUCUUUUUUGUGGCUUAACUUUCUUAUGCAUUCAAUGUGCAAUCUUUUAAAAAGGAGGUUUUAAUUCAUUUUAGGAUACACAACGGCAUAUGUUUGCAAAAAACCCAGUGGAUGUUCAAAUACAUAACUUGUUUUAUGUAUUUACCAAAACAUUGGUCUACCGUGGCGCAUGAAGUAGAGAGAGUGCACAUACACAUACAUUCUUCUUCUUCUAAAGAUAAGACAGUGGACAAUUUUAGAUGGCUGUUAGUUGUAGCAGCGUUUAAGUCUCUUGCCCAGUCAAGCGUUUAAAGCUUGACUGGGCAUGAGAGUCUCUGGGUCAAAUAAUCAGUUCAAAAGAUGAGCAACUGUGUAAGAAAAUUAACUGUUUCUUUGAUGAAAGAUCAAAGAUACAACUCAGUGAACAUAAAAGAUUCACACCUGGUUUGGACAGUUCCCGCAGCAGCCAAGGGGUUGUAUCAGAUACAUCGAUCAGUGGCCCUAUACAUGACACUAUGAUGCUCUAUGUGGUGUAAGUUAUCGCAGGAGUAAAGAAGGAACUCAAUGAAAAGGUCAAAGGGAGAUUUGGGGGACAGUUGGGUCAAAAACACCAAAACCAAACCAAAAAACUGUUGCAGUUGGUGAGCAGAAACCGCCUUGAGUGUAGAGUGUCAUCGUUUUUAGGGUAUCAUGAGAUGACCAUGACACCUUCAUAUUGGGCGGAGUGGUUGCUGAGUUAAACAUGACUCAAAGAAACAGAGCAAAUCCUAUCAACACACAGUGAGUCUGGGCAGAAGAUAUAUUUGCGUGUUUGUGUUGAUAUUCACUGUAUUGUUUAACUGCCAACCUCAGUUACUUGCUGUUACCAAUACACAUCUACACCCACACAUAUAGAUUUGGUUUUAACUGCGCGGAACACUUGUGGUGAUCAAAUACAUCCUCCUAGCAACUCCUUCCCCAUUUCGUAGCCACAUGUGGACUGCCAUUGGGUAGUUAGCAUAGUUUCCAGCUGCCACUUUCUCAUUCAUAUCUCCCCCCUCGUUCCCCAUCUCCUUACCUCUAAGUCGCACAUUCACCUUGUGAUAAAGGACUGGAGGCGGAGCCUCGUGUUUGGAAUAAAAUCUUCACUUCCUAACUCUUAAUGAAUGAGUAUUAAUUGUUAAUUAUGUUUGUGCAUUAGUCCCUGUUAACUCAGGGUGGUGCCCUGUUAUUUAGUAAUUUUUUGAAUGGUCUUAGUGAUUAUUAAUAAUCAUUAUUAUGAUUUAGUUUCACACUAGCUAUUAACCAGACAUGCCCCUACACCGAUCCCAACAGUUGGCAGUAAUUGAGGUAGCGGUGUGUUUGAGCUAACAAUGGAAACAGUACAAUGCACUACACGCUAUCGAAAUGAAAGGCAUCUCUUGUUGAAUAAUAGCAAGUGAAAGAAUAAUUUGAGCGACACUCUGUGCUCAUCAUGAAAAUAGAUUCUGUCACUCUGUCAUCUUUUCAUUUCUCUUUUUAAUACUCCUUUUAACUCCCUCUUUUUUGGUUCUUUCAAUCUUCCAGCUCUCAAUUUCUAUCCGUUCUCUGGGUGAUUGAGGUGUAGAAGUAGCAAAGUCAGAAAGACAUCCUUGAAUUCUUUAUGGGACCAACAUCCGCCUCUGACUCACUGCAUUUCCACAUUGCCACCGCAGGAUUCAAAAAGCUUUUAUAAACAGUACAUCUUCACUUUUUAUUUUGCCCAAUGUCUAAAUAACAUCACAGCUGUUAGCAAGUGAUUUCAUUCCCUUUUAAAGCAAUAUACCACAGAUGUUAGACUCAAGGCCCGCUGGAUAUCUUUGCUAUCGUUAUAGUUACAGAAAGACAUAAAUUGCAUUUCUAUAAAAGUAGACGCUAUUCCUAAUCAGUCCACUGGGGGUUGCAUUCUAUAAGUCAGCGCAUGUGUUAGAUCAGGUCCAUGGCCAAGGCAGUGCCAAUAGAUUGCCUGCCAUUGGAAAAAUAAAGUCAGCCGGAGCUAACGGGAAAACUUGUUUGUGCUAAUUAGCGAUACUUGCUUACUAACGGACACCUUUUAUUCAAAAGCAUUUGUGGGCACCCCUGCGUUAGGCCUUUUUGAUCCCGGCGUCACUCCAGGCAUCAGCGCUUGCUUGAAAGUGACAUGGUGAGCCCCUCCCACCCUCGUUGGACCUACGGUCCGCGCACCACCCCCAUCCCGCAAUGAACAAACCAUCUCCUAUGAUUUUACUGGUCUGGCCAACUUGAGAUCAAAGUGGGCAGCAUGUGGCCCUUUACCUUAAAUGAGUUUGACACCCCUUCAAUAUACAUUUGCAGUCCAAUGUACCACUAAAAUUAUCUUGAUAUUAUGUUAUCAUCUCUGUGAGCAAACAGAAUAAACACCUGUCCAGCAACCCCGACGUGUACAUUUUAGGCACAUUCUAUCCCACAUAUGUGAAACUCGCGGCCCGCGGGCCAAAUCCAGCCCGCCACUGGAGUGUGGACAGCCCGCCGAAUGACUUUGCUAUUGUACCGUCCGCGCAACCCCCCACAUCCCCCUGUCGCCCGUACCGUCCACCGAUCGGAUCUUCAGCGCCACCCCUCCCUAUGAUCGAAGUGGGCAGUAUCUGGCCCGAACCUGAAAUGAGUUUGACACCCCUGUUCUAUCCCAUUGUGCCUGGUGAUUCCACUGGUGUUGUCUCAGACAGUGAAAAUGAGCAUGUGUGAUCCUGCUUUUGAUUUACAGAUAGAAAAACGCUGCAUGGACAAAUCAAGUCUUGUCAGUCUGUUGAAACUGGGAGAGACGGAGAGACAAAUUAUUCCGCUGCUGGAGAAACAAAAGAUGCAGUGAGAGCAGUGUUUCCUGCCUCCCAGGCAUUUUGUUGUUUGGGCUCACACCAGGACAAUCAUGGCUUACUGACCCUUAUCCGUUUCCAUGGGGACGGAAAAGCCAUUUUUGCCAUUACUGAGAUUAGAGUCUUAUCUGCUUUUGCUCUAUUUUGGAAUAGCUUAUGCUGACUCCUAUCUGGUGGUCUGCUGCUGGCACUCCAACAGCUAUUAUCACAGCCACAAUAUCUACCUCUUAUAUCACAACCUAUGAAACUACUGUCAAACUUCCAAAGCUGAACUGUAUGACAUUACUAUGGCCGAAUGCUCGCUUGCAGUGGCAGAAUGGGGGCUUGAUAGCUGCUUCGCAGCAUGAAAAUUAAAACUAGAUACUUUGCAAAAACAAGGAAGUUAAAUAUAAAGGACGCCCGUUUUAAUGCUUUAGUGCCAAAGAAUAUAAAAUAAAAAGUAUAUUCCAGCUUUCUCCUAACAGAAAAUCCCUUCUCCUCGAUUGUUUAGGGAGUCUCUAUUCCAAUUACACACUUUUCAUUGGUGAAGAACUGCCAAUUACAUUUUGGCUAAUAGUGUGAAUCUACACGGUCUCAAGGCUGAGACCACCACAUAAAAUCCCUUUCAAACAAAACUUUCCUCAUCAGUAUAUCUGCUGUAUCUAUUCUUUUGUCCAGUGUUUUUCUUUUUUUUAUUUAAAGCCACCACCGGUAGCAUACAAUAUAGAGUGAUGUAUAAUUGUAAAAUUGGUCGAAAUAUUAAUGUUGCUGAAAACAUUUAGAUGGGUACUCAUCCAGAGAUGUAAGAGCCCACAAUUGCAAAAUACUUAACAACCUUUAGUAGAUGUGUGCUGAAAAUAGCACCGAAAAUAGGAUGAAAAUAUAAUUUUCUUCUUUUCUUUAAACAGACAUGAUCUUACGUUAAAUAGAACUGGCCAACUCUUUCCACAACAACACCUCUAACCCAAAGUUCAUAUUAACUUCUGACAUCCAUAAAACAUAUAGCUUUUCUUGAUAGCGCAUGCUGUGUAAAAACUCAACAAAAAAAAAUCAAGAAAUCAGAUUACUUUGUGCCUCAACAGUAAACGCAAGUGGAGCCGGGUGUUGGCUUUCUUUUUUCUCAGAGCUCAAAAUAUUUUGACAGAAUAAACAUGUUAUAGUGCCUGAAAGGGUAUGUUUAUCAAACCUCUCUGACACCUAGUUAUCAACACCAAUGGAAAUGUAACAUAUGGGUAAAAAAUGCAUGCACUCUUAAUUAUUUAGCAAUCAGGAAUGUUGUUGUUAAUAAGUUAGUAUAGUUGCUGUCGAAGUUGAUCAUAUGUGCUCCUCAAUAAAGCAGCUCCAAAUGACCUGCGCUUCACUCUUGCUCCCAUAUCCUUUCUUUGCGGUGUAUAUCAGGCUAUCAUAACACCCCAGGGGUUUGUUUGAAGUAGGAGGUUUAACAAACUCUAAGUUACAAUAUAGUGUUAUCAGUUAAUAUUUAAAGUACAUACUGAUCAUAAUCCAUAUGUUUUACUAAUUCCCAGUGGGAAAACUAGAAAAUGCAUUUCCUGCUGAAAAUGCGCUGGAAUGCUUAAAGCUAAAAGUUAAAAUGAAAAUUUCAAACAUAGCUGGAAAUACGGAAAGCUGAAGGUAAUUUCAAUAUAUUUGCUGACAUUACAGAUAUGAGAAAACUGAAAUUAAUUUGAAAUUGCUGAAAGUACAGAAAUGGGAGAAGCUGAAAGGAAUUUCAAUAGGUUUGCUGAAAAUGCAGAAGUUGCAGGAGCUUAAAUGAAUUAAAAAAUAUACAGAAAUAACAAAAGCUGAGAUGAAUAAAAAUGUUUAAGUUGUUUGUAGUAAUAUUAGUAGUAGUCAUAGUUGUAAUUGUUGUACUAGUAGUACUAGCAGGAGAGGUAGUACAAUUCUGUUUAGUAUCAAUAGCAGUAGAAACACUAGAAGUAUUAGUAGUAGUGUUAGUAUUAGUGUUACAGCUGAUAAUACUAUCAGCCAUAGUAUUUGUAGUAACAUUAGUAAUAGUAGUAUUAAUAGCGGUAGAAAUACUAGUAGUACUUUUUCUUACAGUAGUAAGAGUAGUAAUGUCAGUUGCACAAUUACUAGUUGUAGUAGUUUUGAUAGCAGUACAAAUAAUAGUAGUAGUAGUCAUAGUAGUAUAAUUUGUAAUAGUACUACUAGUUGUAGUAGUAAUAUUUGUAGUUGUUGAAGUAUUAAUAGCCGUAUGAAUAUUAGUAUGUUUUAUAGUAGUAAGAGUAGUACUAUCUGUUGCAGUAUUUUUAGUACUACCACGAGUAGUAGUAUUAACAUGAGUGGAAAUACUAGUAGUAGUUGUGGUGGUGGUAGAAGUAUCAGUUGUUGUAGUAGUACUACUAGAAGCACUCUUAAUAUUAGUAGUGGUUGUAGUAUUAGUGUAGUAGUAUUUGAAAGAGCAAUAGGUAUUUCAACAAAUGCAUUGAAGCAUUCCAACAAUUACAUUUUUUACACUCUGUUAGAAUGCACACAGGCACACAGGCUUGAAAUGCACACCCAUGCUCAUAUUUAAUCACAAGAACAAUACCGCUGGUAUAAACUGGUAAAAUGGUAUUGGACCUAUAAUGUAUUUUAUUCAGGUGCAUCCUGUGGAACUCCUCUUUAAUGGCUUCACUGGUUUGUGUCCAGAGAACAAAAAGGUUUAAAAUAGGUUUCAGAGCGACGCACAUGUUUCUCACGGCUCUGCAUACAGCAGCUUUACUAAUAUUCCAAUGUUGUAAAGGAAACUGCCGUUUGCAGAAAAACAUAAUGCUACACAAAGAAUGUGCUUGGAUGUGAGAACAUGUCCACGAUGUGGGACGUUACUUAUAUGAGGACGGGUGAGGUCGCUUCUUCAUCAACAGGAUCGUCAAGAAAAGGACGUGCCAUGCUAACGUAACAGAGAUCUUAUUUUGUUCGUAUGUGAAAACUGCGUACGUACAGUACAGAGUACAUGAAUGAGGAAAUGAAAACGCGCUGUGUGAUUGGCUGGGCUGCUGUCAGAGGGAGGAGACUGUGAAAGAAACUCAAGGUUUACUGAAGAAAACCUGCCCCCUGAGCAGGUUCGGUUCACAGGCUCAGUUACCAUGGAGACUGGCCCUGAGCUUUAGUUACCUCCCUUUGUGAAGUUUCCCUCAUCUCAGGGUUAACAAACUCUGAGUUUUGGACCCCAGGGGACCCAGAGUGAGUCUACAUGCUCGUUGAGAUGAUCGACAAGUCAUAUGUCACACAUUCGACCACUUUGUUUUCAUCUCACCUGCAAGUCUCCUGUCAUUUCAGAUCCUCCCACAUCAUCAGCUCAUUACCCUCACCUGGUCCUCAUUGCCCUUCCUGCAGCACAUAACCUCGUCAGCCACUCACUAUUUAAGCCUGUAACAUUCUCUUGUUCCCUGCCAGAUUGCCUUGUGCGUUUGCCAAGUUUUUCAGCAUAUCUAAAUUAGCCCGAUAUCCUUCUGUUCUGACCUAGCCUGCCUUUUGAUCAUGAAUUCCCUGCCUGCUGCUGUUUGCCUGUCUGAUUGCCAUCCUGGUUCUAACCCCGCCUGUUUUCGUCUACAGAUUCCCUCCCUGCCCCUCUGGAUUUGUUUGCCUACUGAAGGAUCUCCUGGUUUUGACCUUGCCUGAACUUUUAAUAAAAUCCACCUGUCUUGAGUCUUACUUUUGGGUUCCUUUGUGCACCGGUACCAGUGACUGUUACACCGUAGAAAGAUCCUGACAGCCAAUCAUCUGUCUUCUGUAGCGUCCUGCAUGGCUUCACAUUUCAGGAAGUUGCCAUUUAUUCUGCCCAUAGAGCUGAUUCAUGUUUGGUGUAGACUGUUUUUCUUUUUUUUCUGUGCCCGGACAUUUUGAGGAAAUUGACUGACUGUCAUAGAUGAGCACUACUUUUAUUAAAGGUAAAUCUGCAUUGUUUUAGGCAGUCUAUGCAUGCCCAAGUGUUCAACCAGUUCACCCUGAUUCCAAUUCAGCGUGGAUUACUUGCAGCAGAAUUUUUUUUUAGUCCUCCCCUUAAUCAGCCAGUGUAGAGGGGGAAGUUUCUUAUUAAAAAUGUUUCCAGACUUGGCUUUGUAAGUGUGGAGGAAAUAUAUGAGGAGAGUUAAUGUGAUUUUGGUGGAGCAGAUUGAAAUGUCUUUCAUGGUCACAUUCCUAUAUUAGUCCAGAGCUAAGCCUUAAUAUGUGUUUCUUUUGUGCUUAACCUCAUAAUGUCAAGAGACCCAUAGUCACUUCUGGUAUGGAUAUUCUCUUCCAAUGGCAAAGAAGUUAGCUGCUCUUGUCAUCUAAAGCCGAGUGGAAAGGGAGGGUUAAGGACUGUAACAUGUGGUAAGGAGGAGCAUGAGUGUGAAAAUGGACAUUCUGGGGAUAUUUGAUCCAAUGUAGUUCAGCAGUGCCAAAAACUCAUGCAACGCAACAUUUUUAGAAAGCCAACAUGUCCACAAACAGUCUGCAUUCGAUGACCUUGCUGAUGAACAGUCCUGGCUUUCAGCUGGGGCCAAACAUUAAGGGUAAAUAUGAUCGCCGUCUAAUUCAUAUUCAAUUUCAAUGACCUCCUUGUUGUUGCAACAUGGAGUUCAUUCUGUUUGAAUUUCUUUUUGUGUCUAAUUCCUGACUCUCCUGCCACAAAUACCGUUCUGUUUUCCCUGUGAGUCCUUAUCUUUCUCUACUAAGUCUGUCUCUGUAUGCAGAGCCUGUUCUUGACUCUCCUCACGCUCUGCCGGCCUCCCUCUCAUUCACCGCAUCCCUGUGGUACCGGGAAGAAUAUAGAAGUUCUGAGGGAAACUGCACUCCGGUGGCACUUUCCCUCUUUCUCUCUCCUCCUAGUCCAGGAGAAUCAAAGGAGAUCAGUUCUCUUUGUGGCCCUGUCUUAAACAGGUUUGACACACAGAGGGAAGAAGUCCGUGGGGGGUGCAGGGAUGCUCAUCCGAGAGAAGUAACUCAGAGGGCAACACAGAGAGCGUCAGAUGAAAAAUCCUCUUGAUUGUGGAACCCCCAAGAUAUACCUUUUUAAUAUUGGCUAACUACAGCUUUCUGUUAGAAGCAGUCACUUUAAUCAAUGCUGUUUGACAUCAUAAAAUAUGUCUUCUCUAUCUGCCUGCCACAAAUCUUCAUUCAAGCUACAUGUUUACACAGAAAUAAAUCUUCUAACCCAAGGGUCUAUUUGUUUUUUUUAGCUUCACCCAAAUUCCCAUUUUUUUUUUCAACUGGAUUCAAGACGGUUUGAAGUCUGGUUGCACUCUGAGUGGUUUGGACGGACCUACCAUGAGGACAGAGAGGAUGUUUUUGCUCUAGUUAUUUAUCUAGGUAAUAUAUUUCACUGCGUGUAAACUAGUGUGCCUGUAAACUAAUAGUUUACAGGCACACUAGCGGCGCUGGAAGGCUGUUCUUAGACUAAAGGUUACUUUGGGCUACAUGCUAACAGCAACAUGCUCCAGUUAAAUAUUACCAAUUCUGAUAAUGUUUAAAAUAGAGGUAUAUUUUACCUCCAUGUUUAAUUAUGUGCUAAAGCUUCAACACAACCAAGUACACUUGACGUUAUUGGCAAUGCACGAGGUGAAAAGUCAGGGAUUUACCUAGUUUAUCCUAUGGGGAACGAACACAUCCUUUGGAUACAUGUUGAAAUGUUUCACUUUGGACCAACAGACCAACAUCACCCUUGAAAGUAUAUUGGUGUUGCAAACAAUUUUUUUUUUUUGAGUUUGGACGUAAUGGGCGAGGACUACUCUGGUGAAUGAGCCAGGAGUUUCUAUUUUAUUAAAGAACAACGUCCAAACUCAAAUAAGUUUUUUAAGACCCAAAAAAUAUUUUCUGCUAAAAAUUAUAUUUUCAAGACAAAACCCAAAUCAUUAAUUCUCAGUUCAUAUAUAUAUAAUUUUUCAUUCCAAAAUGUGAUGAUCCAUUUUUUUAUUAUAUUAAUUUACAAGAAUUGACCUUGUUUGUAUGCACACUGCCUGGCUGUCUCUCUAUUCCACUCUGUCACUAUUUCUCCACCCAUCGGUUAGCAUAAGAAAUCAAUAGUCUCUUCAUCAGACAAAUGGAAGGAGAUGGGAGGAAGCUAUAUCAGAAAGCCAAACAGAUAGUCUAAUCGGGAGGGAAGGACAUUUCAGAUCCAAAUCGGUUACAAUGAAUAACAAGGGCACAGCUGAUUCAUAGGGCAUGGCUUGAUUUAAGGCGGAAUAGGUGUGAUUCAACUAACCUGCUGUGCUAAAUUGCUUACUUUUAUUCUGACCCAUAGCUCUGUUGUAACAUUUACUAAUCUGAUCCUGAAGUUGUGAAAAGUGUCAAUGUUGUUAGAGGUUUAGUGCUUAAUAUUUAAGUGUAUUUACCUUAUUAAACAUUGAAUUCAUGAGAAAUAAAACAAAAUCCUUGCUAAAAUGAAUGACACAUACUGAAUGUGCAGCAACACUGUGUAUCCACAGGAUUUAUCAAGGUCCUCAUUGAUUUAUAAAUUCAUCACGGCGUAGCCACCAUUUCUCUUUUGCGAUCCUUUGUCCCCCCCUACACACAAGUAUUUGUUCACAAACCAGAGUCAGCAACGGGGUCCGAGGAUGAGGGCGAGGGCAUGAAGAUGUGGCAUAAUACACAACAAUCUGGCAACAUGUCAGUGUUGGAUUGGGAUUUAAAUGCUAUGGUUAGUAAGUGCAGCAGUUGGCAGUUGAGAGCGAUGAAGAGGGUGUACCUGACAGGCACACUGAAUGAGCUUGAGGCAGAGGGACAAGUUGAGCAGAGGUCUUUAACAGGACAUUUUUCACCCAAUUUUUUUCCACAACUAUAAAUGUCUUCAGAAUCAGAACUAUAUUUAUUGUGCUUAAAAACACAUUAACAUGAAUCCAACAUAAUGUAAAACUGAAAAAAGUUGAAGACCCCUGAAGUAGACUAUAAGAGCGGAGCUGCGACAGUUAUACUUUUAGAAACAGUUUUCUGUGUACUAAAUUUGGAGUAGUACUUUGACUGUUUUUGAGUGAACACUAAGUUUGAGACUAAUAUUGUAGUUUUGUUAUUGGUCACUAAUCUCAGGGUGGUGCCCGAUUACUAUUGAUAUUGUGAUUGAUUUAAUUAUUGAUACAUUGUCAAUAAUUUAGUUGUCAUACUGCUAACCAAAAAGGCUCCUGCUAGAUCCUAACCUCUUUGACUGAAAACGUUGUUCGUUGUUCUUCCUCUGUUCUAUGCAUAGUUGAUAGAACCCGAGCAUAUCUUCAUAGAAUUAUUACAUUCCAGUCAUAGAUUAAGAGAGUUGCUGGUCUCUGUAACCAUUCCUCAUCUUAAUAUUGUCCCUGAGAGGUGAGAGCCCUGAUUUUGUACAAAUACAAAGGUUCAGUCUGACUUUGACCCGUAAAUCGAGUGGGUUUGUUUGCCAUCCUAGUUGUGUGUAAGUUAUGAUUGAUGCUGUGUUCAAAGAGCAUCAAGCAUAGACAAAAGUACUAGGAGAUAUCCCUUUCAAAGCUCGGCAACAACGUCCAGGGGAAACGAGGGGAUUCUUAUCCUUGACAUGUAAAAUAACUCAUCCCUAUAAAUUGUAAAUUCCUUUUCCAACCAGGCGUCUAAGUAAUUUAAUAAUUAAGAUGAAGAAAUCUAAACUUUAGUUUAAUAUACACAAACU
This is a long non-coding RNA of Gasterosteus aculeatus aculeatus (three-spined stickleback), 12459 nucleotides long. The record is from Ensembl. Lineage: Eukaryota; Metazoa; Chordata; Actinopteri; Perciformes; Gasterosteidae.